UUUAAAGGAUAAGAGACAAUCCAUUGGNUUUAGGCACCAAAAAUC
Molecule: transfer RNA, 45 nt
Filed under: Iguana iguana (Common green iguana)
Lineage: Eukaryota; Metazoa; Chordata; Lepidosauria; Squamata; Iguanidae
Description: partial tRNA-Leu
Source: RNAcentral